RNAcentral lists this ribosomal RNA (441 nucleotides) under uncultured bacterium. RNAcentral describes it as "partial 16S ribosomal RNA". It matches the Rfam family "Bacterial small subunit ribosomal RNA", at positions 338 to 795 of the family's 1533-position model. The record is from RNAcentral.
CCUACGGGGGGCAGCAGUGGGGAAUAUUGCACAAUGGGGGGAACCCUGAUGCAGCGACGCCGCGUGGGUGAAGGAGUAUUUCGGUAUGUAAAGCCCUAUCAGCAGGGAAGAACAAUGACGGUACCGGACGAAGAAGCACCGGCUAAAUACGUGCCAGCAGCCGCGGUAAUACGUAUGGUGCAAGCGUUAUCCGGAUUUACUGGGUGUAAGGGGAGCGCAGGCGGCGCGUUAAGCCUGGUGUGAAAGUCCGCGGCCCAACCGCGGGACUGCAUUGGGAACUGGCGCGCUGGAGUGCCGGAGGGGUAGGCGGAAUUCCUAGUGUAGCGGUGAAAUGCGUAGAUAUUAGGAGGAACCCCAGUGGCGAAGGCGGCCUACUGGACGGUGACUGACGCUGAGGCUCGAAAGCGUGGGGAGCAAACAGGAUUAGAUACCCCAGUAGUC